UGAGCUUGAUAGUUGGCUGCCUGGACACAUCCAUAUUGUUUUUCUCACACCAGUAUAGAAGUAGUUUGCUCUUCCAUUUUUCCAAGGUUUUUUUCCCACAACCUCCUAGUUAUUGUUCAUCCAAUCAAACCCUAACUAACUUUUUCAGUAUCAGCCAAGGUCGGCUAGAUAUUGCCACUGUUGUGAUGCAGUCCAUUAAUUCACUUAGAAUAUUUCUCUACUAAAACUAGACCUCCCAGUCUGCUAACAGUGAAACCAUAUAUUUUGCAAUUUAUAUUUUACAGUGAAAUCAGAAAGCAGAUCCUUAGGGCAAGCAAAGAACAGCCAGACAGAUGCUGUCCAAAAUGAACAUAAAUGUUUUGCAUUCUGAAUAAAAAAUGAUUUGUGGGGGCCUGAUGGGAAGGGAUAUUAUUAAUAUAAGGCCCCACCAGUUAAACAUCCUUGUUCCCACCCAUCUCAUCAGAUUAGAACAAUGCUGGAGCAGAACAACCUAAAAGCUUGUUCACUCUGUAGUAAGUUAAUCAGAUGUUUUGGAAUCCACUAAACACUAACCUCUAAUGAAGAUACUUGGCUGAGAAAAUAAUUCACAAAAACAUUUAUGUAGAUACAAUCAACAUAAAAUGUCAAAGUUCUGCACGGGUUUGGAUUUAUACUAUUUUGAAUAAUCAAAAUGCAUUAUUUGUAUCUAGCACAUCUAUAUAUUGCAAUUUCAGUAAACGUCAAGCAUUCGCUAAAGCACAGCCACAGCAGACAAAGAUAUCAGAAAGACUUGAUGCCUUAUCAUCAUUUAGAAAGGUUAACCUAUUAGGCAAGUCAUGGCUCUUAUUAAUAGCCAUUUAAUGCAACAUGAAAUUGAUGAUCUAAUAAACUAUUUCUUAUUUUAA
This is a long non-coding RNA of Candoia aspera, 884 nucleotides long. RefSeq lists it as uncharacterized. The transcript is spliced from 2 exons. The record is from RefSeq and is a predicted model, not a curated record. NCBI's taxonomy places the organism in Eukaryota, Metazoa, Chordata, Lepidosauria, Squamata, Candoiidae.